Molecule: long non-coding RNA, 563 nt
Organism: Rhododendron vialii
Lineage: Eukaryota; Viridiplantae; Streptophyta; Magnoliopsida; Ericales; Ericaceae
Exons: 2
Source: RefSeq, a predicted model, not a curated record
CUCCAAGAGCUAAUUAAAGCUCUAACAUCAAUGAGGAUGUUGUGAAAUAAGUGAGGGAGAUGGUAAAAUCCCACCCUAGUCCCACGUCAGCUAAGAAUAUGAAACUCGUGGGAAGUAUAACUGGUCGGGUCACUAGAACCAUGCUACAUACCAAUACCUGGUCCAUUACCGUUACAACCGUAGAACACAAGAAGUUUGUUCAAUUGACCAAUGGCAAUAACCAGGUAUGUUACCGUUACAAGUAAGUUUACUGUUACCUCUGCAGCUUUUUGGUCGUUCCAACUUCCCACCCGCGUGGCUAACCAAUUGACCACUAAGGCACUAACAAAAGCUUAUGCUGACAGUACGAAUUUUAUUACUAAAAUCAAUCAACUUAUGGAACACAGUAUACCCACCAGAGUCUUCAACAUGUAGAGUAUACUCUUCACAAACAGAAAGGAGGGGGAAAAACCACAAGAGAAUCCCACACAGAAAUGAAAGAUCAACUUCAGAAAUCGAACAGACUCAACCCAAUCCCAACCAUAACAAACUCAGCAAAUCAUCAAACAAGUCCCACCACAUAA